AACGAACGCUGGCGGCAUGCCUAACACAUGCAAGUCGAACGUGACCUUCGGGUCUAGUGGCGCACGGGUGCGUAACGCGUGGGAAUCUGCCCUUCGGUUGGGAAUAACUGAGAGAAAUUUCAGCUAAUACCUUAUAGUGUCUUCGGACCAAAGAUUUAUCGCCGAGGGAUGAGCCCGCGUAGGAUUAGGUAGUUGGUGGGGUAAUGGCCUACCAAGCCGACGAUCCUUAGCUGGUCUGAGAGGAUGAUCAGCCACACUGGGACUGAGACACGGCCCAGACUCCUACGGGAGGCAGCAGUGGGAAAUAUUGGACAAUGGGCGAAGGCCUGACCAGCAAUGCCGCGUGAGUGAUGAAGGCCUUAGGGUUGUAAAGCUCUUUUACCCGGGAUGAUAAUGACAGUACCGGGAGAAUAAGCUCCGGCUAACUCCGUG
Molecule: ribosomal RNA, 432 nt
Filed under: uncultured bacterium
Lineage: Bacteria
Description: partial 16S ribosomal RNA
Rfam family: Bacterial small subunit ribosomal RNA
Source: RNAcentral